This 391-nucleotide ribosomal RNA is filed under the name uncultured Geobacillus sp. RNAcentral describes it as "bacterial SSU rRNA". It matches the Rfam family "Bacterial small subunit ribosomal RNA", at positions 986 to 1382 of the family's 1533-position model. The record is from RNAcentral. Lineage: Bacteria; Bacillati; Bacillota; Bacilli; Caryophanales; Anoxybacillaceae.
AUCCCCUGACAACCCAAGAGAUUGGCGUCCCCUCGGGGACAGGUGACAGGUGGUGCAUGGUUGUCGUCAGCUCGUGUCGUGAGAUGUUGGGUUAAGUCCCGCAACGAGCGCAACCCUCGCCUCUAGUUGCCAGCAUUCGGUUGGGCACUCUAGAGGGACUGCCGGCGACAAGUCGGAGGAAGGUGGGAUGACGUCAAAUCAUCAUGCCCCUUAUGACCUGGGCUACACACGUGCUACAAUGGGCGGUACAAAGGGCUGCGAACCCGCGAGGGGGAGCGAAUCCCAAAAAGCCGCUCUCAGUUCGGAUUGCAGGCUGCAACUCGCCUGCAUGAAGCCGGAAUCGCUAGUAAUCGCGGAUCAGCAUGCCGCGGUCGAAUACGUUCCGGGCCUU